This 57-nucleotide transfer RNA is filed under the name Heterocephalus glaber (naked mole-rat). It matches the Rfam family "tRNA", at positions 8 to 63 of the family's 71-position model. From Rfam's summary of the family: Transfer RNA (tRNA) molecules are approximately 80 nucleotides in length. Their secondary structure includes four short double-helical elements and three loops (D, anti-codon, and T loops). Lineage: Eukaryota; Metazoa; Chordata; Mammalia; Rodentia; Bathyergidae. The record is from Rfam by way of RNAcentral.
UAGCUUAGAGAUAGAGUGCUUGCCUAGCAUGCAUGAGGCCCUGGGUUCAAUCCCCAG